UUUCCGUAGGUGGACCUGCGGAAGGAUCAUUACAGAGUUCAUGCCCUCACGGGUAGAUCUCCCACCCUUGAAUAUUUAUACCUUAGUUGCUUUGGCAGGCCGUGGAAACACCAUGGGCUCUGGCUUAUGCGUGCCUGCCAGAGGAAACAAACUCUGUUUUUAGUGAUGUCUGAGUACUAUACAAUAGUUAAAACUUUCAACAACGGAUCUCUUGGUUCUG
RNAcentral lists this unclassified non-coding RNA (220 nucleotides) under plant metagenome. RNAcentral describes it as "partial contains small subunit ribosomal RNA, internal transcribed spacer 1, and 5.8S ribosomal RNA". The record is from RNAcentral.